GCGGUGCCCAACCUGCACCCCAUGCCGAACUCAGAAGUGAAACGCCGUAGCGCCGAUGGUAGUGUGGGGUCUCCCCAUGCGAGAGUAGGG
RNAcentral lists this ribosomal RNA (90 nucleotides) under Escherichia coli. Lineage: Bacteria; Pseudomonadati; Pseudomonadota; Gammaproteobacteria; Enterobacterales; Enterobacteriaceae. The record is from RNAcentral.